Molecule: long non-coding RNA, 190 nt
Organism: Cyprinus carpio (common carp)
Lineage: Eukaryota; Metazoa; Chordata; Actinopteri; Cypriniformes; Cyprinidae
Exons: 3
Source: RefSeq, a predicted model, not a curated record
GAGCAUUAUGAUGAUGUCAUCAUUAUUGGACAGAAUUUUCAAGGUGUAAGGGAGUUAGAUCAGGAGGAGUAUGAUGAUGUGAAGAACAGCAAUGGAAAUGAAAGAGACCUGUUGGACUAUGAUAAUGUGGAGGAGGGGUCAAAUAAAGAGGGAGGAGCCAUAUGAGUGACCACACCCACUGCCUCUGUUC